ACCGCCAGUUGCAUUAGAAAAACGGCUAGAGUAUCUGUUCUUAUCAGUUUAAUAACGGUUAUGUGGACCAUUGGUUCACACGAUAUUAACUCUAUUUUUUGAGGGGGAUGGCUCAUCAAGGUAGCUUGCUGCCUGGGCCUUCAAGCGUCGCCUAAGCGUUGCAUUACUGUUUUGGCCUGGUGCACCCCAC
RNAcentral lists this small nuclear RNA (190 nucleotides) under Capsicum annuum. Its description in RNAcentral is "U2 spliceosomal RNA". It matches the Rfam family "U2 spliceosomal RNA". Rfam says of the family: U2 is a small nuclear RNA (snRNA) component of the spliceosome (involved in pre-mRNA splicing). Lineage: Eukaryota; Viridiplantae; Streptophyta; Magnoliopsida; Solanales; Solanaceae. The record is from Rfam by way of RNAcentral.